UUGAUUGGUUAGUUGAAGUUGCUGAAGAGUACAAACUUCUCUCCGACACUCUUACCUCGCUGUCUCCUACAUCGACAGAUUCUUGUCUCUUCAGACUGUUAAUAGGCAAAAGCUUCAGCUUUUGGGAGUUUCUUCUAUGCUUAUUGCCUCCUAAGCAACAUCUUUUUUUGUUUUUUUUUGUAUUUUUUUGUUUGCAUCUCUUUUGGCUUAUGUAUGCAUUUUUUUGUAGGAAGUAUGAAGAGAUAACACCUCCGAAUGUGGAAGACUUCUUUUACAUAACAGACAACACUUACACUAAGCAAGAGAUUGUGAAGAUGGAAGCUGAUAUACUUCUUGCUCUUCAGUUUGAAUUAGGAAACCCCACAACCAAUACUUUUCUAAGGUUAUUAGAGUCUGAUGCUUUUGGUUUUUUAUUAAGUCAUUUAUGGUUGUGUCUCACUUCUGCUUAUGUUGGUUUUUGUGCAGACGGUUCACAAGAGUUGCGAAGAUAUCAAUGUAAGAGUUCUUGAAUUGUGGCGUUUCUUUUUUUGCGAGUAUUACCGAUGUCACAUUUACAGAUGGAGUUUCUCUGUAGUUAUCUUUCAGAGCUAAGCAUGUUAGAGUAUAACAGUCUGAAGUUUCUUCCGUCUGUUGUGGCUGCUUCAGCCGUAUAUCUCGCAAGAUUCAUCAUCCGUCCAAAGCAACAUCCCUGGGUAAAGCGUGCUUCUUGUUCUAAUUCUAUAUUCACCACUUGUAGAAGACACUAAAUCUCUAGUUUUUGAAUGUAACAGAGUGUAAUGUUAGAAGAAUACACGAGAUACAAAGCGGGUGAUCUCAGAGAAUGUGUGUGCUGGGUUUUAAAUGGCUAGAGGCGACUCAAAGCGAGCUAGUGGUCGCCAAGCGGCAAGCGCCAUGGCGACCGAAGGCGAGCGCCAUGUGUAUGCCUCACACAAAAGGAAUUCAAAACGACUAUAUGUUACUUCCCUUUAAGUUCAAUGAAUAAUAUGUAUGUUUAAAUCCAAAACACUAAAUCCACUAUAGUUGAAUCCUAAAUAGCAAAACAAGCACGAAAAACAGCAAGUCUAAAUAGCAAAACACCUAAGUCUUAAUAGCAAAACAACAACUAAAAAUACCAAAUCAAAACACCAAGUCCUUAAACACUAAAACUCAGAUUCAGAAUUAUGAUCUUUAUACUCUAACUCCUACACAAAACCAAAGUCAUUUAACUCAUCCUCUCUCAGUCAUAAUAAAACUUAAACACAGAAGAGAAAAGUAUGAUCAGGGGAUAUUUGGGAAAGGUUAAACGUGAUAAAGGAGAAAAAUAUGAUUACGGGAUAUAUGCCUUACUAAACCAAAUUCGGUUUGAUAGACUAGGUUUACACAAACCAAACUAGUUUGUCUAAUAUCAACAUGUCGUGGCUAGAAGCGCCUUCCAGAAAGCAUGAAAGCGGAGAAUAGCGACCGCCAUGUGUAUGUCGCCUGGCCAUGGGGUAUUGAGGCGAUGAGGCUAUCGAUCCACCUCGCCAUGCGCCAUGGCGACCAAAGUGAUCGCUUUUUAAAACCAAGUGUGUGUGUAUGAUACAUGACUUGUAUCUCAGCAGAAAAGGAGGAGCUUUACAAGCUGUUAGAGAUAGAUACAAGCAGCAUAAGGUAAAUCCAAUUAACUAAUAUGAAAUCUAUUUUGACUUUAAUGUGUAGAACACAAUGUUCUUGAGACUUACAUGUUUCUAUGUCUCUAUUUUGGUUCCCUACUCAGUUCAAGUGUGUUGCGACUAUGCCUGUAUCGCCAGAGCUUCCUCUUACCUUCUUUGAAGAUGUCAGCAUUUAGAGAGAUAUUUGUUCAUCGGCAAAGAAUCAUUUGAAACCAGAAGAAGCAGUUCGGUGGUGUUUUGGGUUGUACAUGUCUGAUACGUUUGAGGCCUUACGUCCUCCGAUACUAUAUCAGUAUCACCGCAGGGGCAAGGCCCAGAAGUGAGGAGGAAUAGUCAGACCUGUGGCCCAAGAGUGCCCGAUCCCGGCCCUUAGGCCCAAACUGAUCCGCGGCCCUCAUUCCUUAUUCAUGUCUAGUUGAUUCCGGUUUUGAGUCCAUAAUUUCUAAGUUCAUUUCAAGUCAAUUUAAUUGAGGUUUAUAAACAAUCCAGAUAACAGAAUGAACAUAAGGGGAAAAUCGAUUGUAUUAAUAUCAAAUGAGAUUCAUACAUAGGUUCAUAUCAUUCAGUUUGCAUAAUAGGCUAUCAUAAGUUCAUUCCUAACAGAGUCUACCCAAACACCACACAUCUUCACAUGGCCUGAGUCUUCACGGUUCCUUAGCUUUACCACGAUCCAAGUCAGAUCCUGAAACCAACCUAUACACAUCCAUCAAUAACAAUCCGAUAUCCUAACAUCAAUCUCUAAUCAUGCAUGGUUCGGAUCCUUAAGAACUAGAUUCUGUCCAAAAUGACAUCUUUCAUAUGAAUUCCAAAAACUAAUUAAAAUUCAUGAUAAUUCCUGAUAGAUCCCCACUAAGAGAUUUCCAUAAUCGGUUUCCAACAAAUCCGCCAAGAAGUGUUAGAUCUCGAUCAUGGACAGUCCGGCCAAAGGCCAAAGACUUUGUUCCUGAACCGGCCAAGGCCUGGUUCAUCAUUCCCUGUCUGAUCAAUCCAGAUACAACACAAUAUAUAAAAGAGAGGGUGAUUUAGAAGAGAUAGAGAGAAUGGAUGUAACCGGUUCUCAAACCAGCCACAAGCCCGAUCGGAUCAACAGCCGGCUAGGGCCAUUUGCUUCCCGUGUACACCACUGACCUUAGGCGUUCUCUCUCCUGGUGCCAUCUCCUUCUCUUUCUGUCUGGUAUCCAUCUCUUCAAGCCCUGUCUCCCACGAUCAAGCCUUCACCGGAACCGCCAAGCCUUCUCGCGGUUCUCUCUCUCUUAACCACCGGUCUCUCUCUCUCUUUCUUUCUUGAGAUUCUCUCUCACGAUUUUGGCAGAGGUUUCCCUAAGGAAUUGUGUGUCCAAAUCUGACCCCAAGGACUUGUAUUUAUAGAGAGAGGGAGUCAGAACUGCCCAAGGGGCGAAGGGGUGGGAGUUGUGGCCGAAAAGGUGCCAUUCUCUCUCUUUCAUCCUUUCGCCAUCAACUGUCUCUAACCGGUCCCCAACUGCUUCCAACUGCUCCUGAUCCUGUCGGUUUCCAGCCUGUCUCCAAGGCCUGAACCCUUAGACUGAUCGUUCAACACCACAGCCACACAAUCUAGCCAAGCCGCCAUAACCGCCCAUGUAACCGCCUCGGACAUGAACACUCAGCCCAGCUGAGUUGAACUGAUUGCUAGCUACCACCAGCUGAGUGAGCUAGUACAUCCAGCUCCACUAGCUGAUGUACACUGACUGAGCUACCAUCGAGCUUCCCCGAGCUGACUAAGCUCGACCAUGGCCUUGCCCAGCUACCGGAACACUCGUCCAACUCUGUUGAGCUUGUCCCUGCCUCGUUCUGGUUAAGUCUCAGCCUCCCGAUACCCUUAACCAUGUCUCUGAGCCAUGAUACGCUUGUCUUUAGGUCUGAUGACCUGACUGGUGCGUCUCCUCGUACCAUGGCUCGUCCCGGACGAUCCUAUCUUGGAUCGGGGAUGCUACAGCAUCAUCGCUGGAGGUUUUCUCUCAUGCGGCAAGAUAUAUUGUUUUAGGGUUUGAGGGCUCGUCUCUCUCGUAGCUCAUGGUGCCCAGCUCUAGACCUGAUUAGUUUUGGUUUAUUUGGUCCAUGCCAUCUAGUUACUUAGCUGGGUUGUAGGGUCUGUCCCGCUAUUUUUUUGGGUUCAAUAUUGUCGUUGUUCUAGUGUUCAGCUUUAAUUUAUGUAUUCUACCUACUAGUUUUCUUUGUAAUUUUUAUCACAAAUUUAAAAAUUUGUAUUACAUUUAACAUUUUAUCAAAAUAAAUUCUUUUUGAUAUCUCUUAAAAUGUUUGCUUUGGAAAAUAAUACAAAAAUUACAAAAUGUGUACCAUACCCCUUACAUUCACAUAAUUGUUAAUUGAAUUUAAUUUGUUUUAUAGUAUAAAAAUGUGAAUAACAAUUACAAAAUGUCAAAUAUAUUUUCAUUUAUUAUUCUAGUUAGGUCUAAUUCUAAUAUCUAAGUCAUAUAUUUUAAUUAUAAUUUUAAUAUCUAAAUUCUUUCAUUUAUUGUAUAAUUUGAUUUUUAAAUGGAAUUUUAGUGAUUGUUGUCGUCAACAAACCGUAAUGAAAAAAAAAAACAAUUAAUUCCUUAUUGUUCAGGAUUCUUGUUGGAGAGGCUCAUUAAAAGUGCUCUUGAAAUAGUUAUUGCCAGUAAAAUUUUUGGAAGGGAAAAGUUUUUCUUUUUCUUUUAUCCUGCCAACAAAAUUCGACCCACAUUUUCGUAAAACCAAAAUUUGAAAACAUCAAAAUUUUUGAAAACCAAAAAAACAAGAGCGAGUGCCAAUUCAAUGUCUCAUUCGAAAAAAUCCAUGGGAAAUGGCGCUCUGCGUCUUCCCUUUUUCUUCUCCCCUCUAUCCAUCAUUCUCUUCCAAUCAAUCGCAUCUCGCUCGAUCUCUGCCUCUUGAACCCAUCGAAUCAUGUCGGACGAUAAGGAGAACUUCGUGAGGAUGACGAGAGCAGCCACGAAAAGAAAAGCUGCUAUGGCACACGAGGACCGUCUCAGCAAGAAGAAGAAGAAGAGAGUUGUCCUCGGUGAGCUUCCCAACUUGUGCAAUAAGCAAAAACAACCCGUUAGAGUUCCGAAGAAGCAAAACAAGAAGAAAUCAAAUUCGAAAGUCCCACAGGAAUCAAAGUCCGAUAUCAUCGACACCAGAUCUGAUGAUCCCCAGAUGUGUGCUCCUUAUGUCACCAGAAUCUUCGUCUAUCUCCGUCAAUUAGAGGUUAGCUUUCUCAAUUCGCAAUCUCGAUUUCAAAUUCAAUCUGGGUCUUAUCUAAAAAUUUGAUUUUGGGUGGAAGUUUGAAUCAGGUGAAGGAAAAGUCAAGGCCUUUGAUUGAUUAUAUUGACAAGGUGCAGAAAGAUGUAACCCUUAAUAUGAGAGGAGUUUUGGUUGAUUGGUUAGUUGAAGUUGCUGAAGAGUACAAACUUCUCUCCGACACUCUUACCUCGCUGUCUCCUACAUCGACAGAUUCUUGUCUCUUCAGACUGUUAAUAGGCAAAAGCUUCAGCUUUUGGGAGUUUCUUCUAUGCUUAUUGCCUCCUAAGCAACAUCUUUUUUUGUUUUUUUUUGUAUUUUUUUGUUUGCAUCUCUUUUGGCUUAUGUAUGCAUUUUUUUGUAGGAAGUAUGAAGAGAUAACACCUCCGAAUGUGGAAGACUUCUUUUACAUAACAGACAACACUUACACUAAGCAAGAGAUUGUGAAGAUGGAAGCUGAUAUACUUCUUGCUCUUCAGUUUGAAUUAGGAAACCCCACAACCA
Molecule: long non-coding RNA, 5375 nt
Filed under: Brassica napus (rape)
Lineage: Eukaryota; Viridiplantae; Streptophyta; Magnoliopsida; Brassicales; Brassicaceae
Description: long non-coding RNA (BNAP_LNC015453)
Source: RNAcentral